Molecule: ribosomal RNA, 2904 nt
Filed under: Escherichia coli
Lineage: Bacteria; Pseudomonadati; Pseudomonadota; Gammaproteobacteria; Enterobacterales; Enterobacteriaceae
Description: 23S ribosomal RNA
Rfam family: Bacterial large subunit ribosomal RNA
Source: RNAcentral
GGUUAAGCGACUAAGCGUACACGGUGGAUGCCCUGGCAGUCAGAGGCGAUGAAGGACGUGCUAAUCUGCGAUAAGCGUCGGUAAGGUGAUAUGAACCGUUAUAACCGGCGAUUUCCGAAUGGGGAAACCCAGUGUGUUUCGACACACUAUCAUUAACUGAAUCCAUAGGUUAAUGAGGCGAACCGGGGGAACUGAAACAUCUAAGUACCCCGAGGAAAAGAAAUCAACCGAGAUUCCCCCAGUAGCGGCGAGCGAACGGGGAGCAGCCCAGAGCCUGAAUCAGUGUGUGUGUUAGUGGAAGCGUCUGGAAAGGCGCGCGAUACAGGGUGACAGCCCCGUACACAAAAAUGCACAUGCUGUGAGCUCGAUGAGUAGGGCGGGACACGUGGUAUCCUGUCUGAAUAUGGGGGGACCAUCCUCCAAGGCUAAAUACUCCUGACUGACCGAUAGUGAACCAGUACCGUGAGGGAAAGGCGAAAAGAACCCCGGCGAGGGGAGUGAAAAAGAACCUGAAACCGUGUACGUACAAGCAGUGGGAGCACGCUUAGGCGUGUGACUGCGUACCUUUUGUAUAAUGGGUCAGCGACUUAUAUUCUGUAGCAAGGUUAACCGAAUAGGGGAGCCGAAGGGAAACCGAGUCUUAACUGGGCGUUAAGUUGCAGGGUAUAGACCCGAAACCCGGUGAUCUAGCCAUGGGCAGGUUGAAGGUUGGGUAACACUAACUGGAGGACCGAACCGACUAAUGUUGAAAAAUUAGCGGAUGACUUGUGGCUGGGGGUGAAAGGCCAAUCAAACCGGGAGAUAGCUGGUUCUCCCCGAAAGCUAUUUAGGUAGCGCCUCGUGAAUUCAUCUCCGGGGGUAGAGCACUGUUUCGGCAAGGGGGUCAUCCCGACUUACCAACCCGAUGCAAACUGCGAAUACCGGAGAAUGUUAUCACGGGAGACACACGGCGGGUGCUAACGUCCGUCGUGAAGAGGGAAACAACCCAGACCGCCAGCUAAGGUCCCAAAGUCAUGGUUAAGUGGGAAACGAUGUGGGAAGGCCCAGACAGCCAGGAUGUUGGCUUAGAAGCAGCCAUCAUUUAAAGAAAGCGUAAUAGCUCACUGGUCGAGUCGGCCUGCGCGGAAGAUGUAACGGGGCUAAACCAUGCACCGAAGCUGCGGCAGCGACGCUUAUGCGUUGUUGGGUAGGGGAGCGUUCUGUAAGCCUGUGAAGGUGUGCUGUGAGGCAUGCUGGAGGUAUCAGAAGUGCGAAUGCUGACAUAAGUAACGAUAAAGCGGGUGAAAAGCCCGCUCGCCGGAAGACCAAGGGUUCCUGUCCAACGUUAAUCGGGGCAGGGUGAGUCGACCCCUAAGGCGAGGCCGAAAGGCGUAGUCGAUGGGAAACAGGUUAAUAUUCCUGUACUUGGUGUUACUGCGAAGGGGGGACGGAGAAGGCUAUGUUGGCCGGGCGACGGUUGUCCCGGUUUAAGCGUGUAGGCUGGUUUUCCAGGCAAAUCCGGAAAAUCAAGGCUGAGGCGUGAUGACGAGGCACUACGGUGCUGAAGCAACAAAUGCCCUGCUUCCAGGAAAAGCCUCUAAGCAUCAGGUAACAUCAAAUCGUACCCCAAACCGACACAGGUGGUCAGGUAGAGAAUACCAAGGCGCUUGAGAGAACUCGGGUGAAGGAACUAGGCAAAAUGGUGCCGUAACUUCGGGAGAAGGCACGCUGAUACGUAGGUGAAGUCCCUCGCGGAUGGAGCUGAAAUCAGUCGAAGAUACCAGCUGGCUGCAACUGUUUAUUAAAAACACAGCACUGUGCAAACACGAAAGUGGACGUAUACGGUGUGACGCCUGCCCGGUGCCGGAAGGUUAAUUGAUGGGGUCAGCGCAAGCGAAGCUCUUGAUCGAAGCCCCGGUAAACGGCGGCCGUAACUAUAACGGUCCUAAGGUAGCGAAAUUCCUUGUCGGGUAAGUUCCGACCUGCACGAAUGGCGUAAUGAUGGCCAGGCUGUCUCCACCCGAGACUCAGUGAAAUUGAACUCGCUGUGAAGAUGCAGUGUACCCGCGGCAAGACGGAAAGACCCCGUGAACCUUUACUAUAGCUUGACACUGAACAUUGAGCCUUGAUGUGUAGGAUAGGUGGGAGGCUUNNNNNNNNNNNNNNNNNNNNNNNNNNNNNNNNNNNNNNNNNNNNNNNNNNNNNNNNNNNNNNNNNNNNNNNNNNNNNNNNAUCCGGGUUGCGGACAGUGUCUGGUGGGUAGUUUGACUGGGGCGGUCUCCUCCUAAAGAGUAACGGAGGAGCACGAAGGUUGGCUAAUCCUGGUCGGACAUCAGGAGGUUAGUGCAAUGGCAUAAGCCAGCUUGACUGCGAGCGUGACGGCGCGAGCAGGUGCGAAAGCAGGUCAUAGUGAUCCGGUGGUUCUGAAUGGAAGGGCCAUCGCUCAACGGAUAAAAGGUACUCCGGGGAUAACAGGCUGAUACCGCCCAAGAGUUCAUAUCGACGGCGGUGUUUGGCACCUCGAUGUCGGCUCAUCACAUCCUGGGGCUGAAGUAGGUCCCAAGGGUAUGGCUGUUCGCCAUUUAAAGUGGUACGCGAGCUGGGUUUAGAACGUCGUGAGACAGUUCGGUCCCUAUCUGCCGUGGGCGCUGGAGAACUGAGGGGGGCUGCUCCUAGUACGAGAGGACCGGAGUGGACGCAUCACUGGUGUUCGGGUUGUCAUGCCAAUGGCACUGCCCGGUAGCUAAAUGCGGAAGAGAUAAGUGCUGAAAGCAUCUAAGCACGAAACUUGCCCCGAGAUGAGUUCUCCCUGACUCCUUGAGAGUCCUGAAGGAACGUUGAAGACGACGACGUUGAUAGGCCGGGUGUGUAAGCGCAGCGAUGCGUUGAGCUAACCGGUACUAAUGAACCGUGAGGCUUAACCUU